Molecule: non-coding RNA, 193 nt
Filed under: Romboutsia hominis
Lineage: Bacteria; Bacillati; Bacillota; Clostridia; Peptostreptococcales; Peptostreptococcaceae
Description: T-box
Rfam family: T-box leader
About the family: Uncharged tRNA acts as the effector for transcription antitermination of genes in the T-box leader family. T-boxes are found upstream of many aminoacyl-tRNA synthetase genes and some amino acid biosynthetic genes usually in Gram-positive bacteria.
Source: RNAcentral
AAUAAUUAAAUAGACUAGAGUAGUAAAAGAAUAUGUUUUUUCAGAGAGCUAGUGGUAGGUGAAAACUAGUAAAAUAUACCUUUGAACUUGCUAGAAGUAUCUAUUUAGCCGUAGUUGGCAUAAAAACUAUCUAAGAGAGUCUAUUUAUAGACUAAUUAGGGUGGUACCGCGAAAAUAUAUCCUCGUCCCUAAA